This 250-nucleotide ribosomal RNA is filed under the name uncultured bacterium. Its description in RNAcentral is "partial 16S ribosomal RNA". It matches the Rfam family "Bacterial small subunit ribosomal RNA", at positions 355 to 618 of the family's 1533-position model. The record is from RNAcentral.
UCGAGAAUCUUCCACAAUGGACGAAAGUCUGAUGGAGCGACGCCGCGUGGUGGACGAAGUCCUUCGGGACGUAAACACCUUUUAUGAGGGAAGAAUUUUAUUGACGGUACCUCAGGAAUAAGGGGUUGCUAAACUCGUGCCAGCAGCAGCGGUAAUACGAGUACCCCAAGCGUUAUCCGGAAUCAUUGGGCGUAAAGGGUGCGUAGGCGGUUGUGUUAGUCUCCUGUGAAAUCUCCCGGCUUAACCGGGA